RNAcentral lists this ribosomal RNA (352 nucleotides) under uncultured bacterium. RNAcentral's name for it is "bacterial SSU rRNA". It matches the Rfam family "Bacterial small subunit ribosomal RNA", at positions 8 to 349 of the family's 1533-position model. The record is from RNAcentral.
AGAGUUUGAUCCUGGCUCAGGAUGAACACUAGCUACAGGCUUAACACAUGCAAGUCGGAGGGGAAACGACAUCGAAAGCUUGUCUUUUGAUGGGCGUCGACCGGCGCGACGGGUGAGUAACGCGUAUCCAACCUGCCCACCACUUGGGGAUAACCUUGCGAAAGUAAGACUAAUACCCAAUGACGUCUCUAGAAGACAUCUGAAGGAGAUUAAAGAUUUAUCGGUGAUGGAUGGGGAUGCGUCUGAUUAGCUUGUUGGCGGGGUAACGCCACCAAGGCGACGAUCAGUAGGGGUUCUGAGAGGAGGUCCCCCANAUUGGAACUGAGACACGGUCCAAACUCCUACGGGAGCA